Molecule: long non-coding RNA, 725 nt
Organism: Lolium perenne
Lineage: Eukaryota; Viridiplantae; Streptophyta; Magnoliopsida; Poales; Poaceae
Source: RefSeq, a predicted model, not a curated record
UUAGACAGUUACGAAAAAAAAGCCAACCUAAGACAGCUUCUCCCGUCCUUCGUCUUUCACGCCGCCGUGACCGCCCUUCUCUCGUCAUGCAGCGCCGCCGCUAGGAUCCUUCAACGGCGGUGCGUCCUCCUCACCCCCCAACGGCGGUGCAUCCUCCUCAUUCCCAACCGCAAGAUUUGAUGUGAACAACACCAGGGCAAAAAUAGGGACGAAGUGAAUCAGCUUCUGCUUGGACCCCUGUCUCGGCUUGUGUUUUCUGGAGGGUUUUUAACGAGUUUCGGACAAAUUCAUCGUAUCACCAAACAAUACGAGGUGUGCAAGUUUUGCCUUUUGCACUGUGCCAUCUUAGUAUCGAAUCAAGAUCAACUGAAGAUUCAUAGGCUGGUUACAGUUUUGCAAUGUGGUCUUAUAGAAUUGCUUGAGAAAAGAUUGUUGAUUUAGACUGAUAGGAACCUUGAAGCAUUUUGAGAUGCUGUAUUGUUUUCUGCUAAUGGCAAAAGAUAGAAUCCAUGCUUUAAAUUAAUUAACACCAUUUCUAUAAGCUUAUACUCUAAUGCUGACUCGGAUCGUGGAAAGGCUGUCAUGUAAUUCUGGAAAUCAUGUAAGUUGGAAAGUUCAAGUACACCUUAAUCCAUGUGUUUCUUAGUUGUAAGAGAAUUUUUAUGCCCGAACCUGUUCGAAAUACUUUCAUGUUUUUACCUAUGGUAGUUAAUAUUCCCCAGUCC